UAGGGGAAUGAAACAUCUCUUUCUCCUGCCGGAGUAAUCGCAGCAGAUUUUCCCGGCGGGAUGAGGCAGUCUGACAGCCAUGAAGUAUCCCAGUUAAAUG
Molecule: regulatory RNA element, 100 nt
Organism: Peptococcaceae bacterium SCADC1_2_3
Lineage: Bacteria; Bacillati; Bacillota; Clostridia; Eubacteriales; Peptococcaceae
Rfam family: Pyrrolysine insertion sequence 1
Source: Rfam